RNAcentral lists this long non-coding RNA (321 nucleotides) under Musa acuminata (dwarf banana). RNAcentral's name for it is "long non-coding RNA (MACU_LNC004120)". Lineage: Eukaryota; Viridiplantae; Streptophyta; Magnoliopsida; Zingiberales; Musaceae. The record is from RNAcentral.
UGGAGUUCAUUGUUGUGUCCGAACUUAUUGCUAUUCCAUUGAAAACAUGCAAUUCCCGGAAGCACUGUAGUUUGUUGUGUCUCUUCAAAGGAGUCUCCUAGGAGAAAUCAAAUGAUACUUCAGCUACGCAAUUCUGAUGUGUGCAUGUUGGCGAACCAUUAAGGAUUCACCAUCACACCAUAUCUGAUCCUGUAAAGGGUAGCUGGAUGAGAUUUAAGAUGCCAUUUUAGACCCGAGGACUAAAGUGCAACUCAUGAUGCUGCUUGUCUCACAGAACCAUGAAACGAGUUCAUUCAAUCCAUUACCUGCACACUCAGCAGC